Molecule: long non-coding RNA, 1004 nt
Filed under: Marmota monax (woodchuck)
Lineage: Eukaryota; Metazoa; Chordata; Mammalia; Rodentia; Sciuridae
Source: RNAcentral
AGCAAGGAUUGUGAAAUGUGAUAGACAUCAUUAUCCAAAGUACAUGUAUGAAGACAUGAAUUGGUGUCAACAUACUUUAUAUACAACCAGAGAUAUGAAAAAUUGUGCUGUGUAUGAGUAAUAAGAAUUUUAAUGCAUUCUGCUGUCAUUUAUUAUUUUAAAAAAUCAAUUUAAAAAAAAAAAAAAAGAUCUGCUUUUAGGGAGAUGGGGGGGCACUUCUCAAAACUUGGAACUGAGCAAAAGGACUCAAGCACAAAGUCCAGAGAGAAAUUGCCAUUGGGUAACACUUCAACUUGGGAAAGGACUGUUUUGUACAUGAUGAUCUGUUCCUGAAGGUCUGGAGAGCAUGGAAGGAAGUGGAAGAACGCACAGGGCAGACUGGGCCUUCCACUUCUCUUCCUGACAUCUCCAGAAUGUCUGCAAAGCUUUCCCCUUUCUUUGGUUAGGGCUCCUGGCCACUGUUUCUCUUUUCUAACUAGCCAAAGUCCUGCUCUGACCAGCAGCCAACUGAGCAUGUCCAUCUCAUUCUAUUAUGGACAGAAUUGUGUCCACCCAAAUUCAUAUGUUAAAUCUUCAAUCCCCCCGAGUGUACACAGAGACAGAGCCUUUAAGAAAGUAAUUAAGGUUAAAUGAGAUCAUAAGAGUAGAGCCCUGAUCCAAUAGAAUUGUCAUCCUUAUAAGGAAAAGAACAAAUGCCAGAGCACUGUGCCUGCCCAGUCCCCCCACCCUACACCCAGCUCAAAGAAAUGGCCCUGUGAGGAUGAAAAGAGAGUAGGUGAGGAGGGGAGUGAUGGGAAGAGGCUAAUCAAUAGGAACAAAGUUAUAGUUAGAUAAGAGUAAGGAGUUCUGAUUUUGCUAUUGCACAGUAGGAUGACUAUAACUAAAAAUAAAGUACUGUACAUUUCAAAAAGCUAGAAGAAAGAUUUGAAUGUUUUUACUAUAAAGAACUGAUAAAUAUUUGAGGAAUUAUAUGUUUAACCUGAUUUAACUAUUAUGCAAUGUAU